Molecule: long non-coding RNA, 1168 nt
Filed under: Equus asinus (donkey)
Lineage: Eukaryota; Metazoa; Chordata; Mammalia; Perissodactyla; Equidae
Description: lncRNA (ENSEASG00005031196.1)
Source: RNAcentral
ACCGUUAGUCUUGGGGGCAGCUGGAGGUUGGCUGAUCCAGGCUGGUGCACUCAUGCACCUGCAGGUCGGCUGGGGGUCAGCUCAAGGCUGGGCUCGGCCGGCACACGGUAGCUGGGCAGCUCUGCUCCACGUGUAUCUCUUGUCCUUCUCCUGGGACCAACAGACCAGGCCGGGCAUGAACUUCUCGUGGCGAUGACAGGAGCACAAAUGAGUAGGUAGAAAUAGGCCAGGCCUCUGGAGGCCAAGGACUGGAACUGAUGCACAGUCUCUCCUACCCACCUCUUCUAUCGGCCAAACGUGUCACAUUGCGGGGAGGGAAAUAUACUCUACAGUUUUGGGAAAUCAAAGUCACGUGAGAAGGGCGGGGUUACAAGGGAAGAAUUAGGGCCAGGAAUGCAAUUGAUCUGUUCUAUUGAUUAUCAUCAUUGCUGUUUAUAUUUAAAUGCAGAAUUUGAAUCAAAAUCUUCCGGCACGGGGCUGGAGGAUCUCCACCUUGCGAACUUUUCCUGGUGAACCCGACACAGCUGGUCUGGCUGAGGGGCUCCUAGUCCACUUUCACAAUCAGCAGGUCAUAAGGAUCAUCUGUGGCUCUGAUGAAAAAGCCAGACUCCUAGGCUGCUUCCCCGGAGAUUUCAGACGCCGAUUCUUAACCAAACAUCUUGCACCCAAAACUCCAGCUCAGAAUCUCCUCCAGGAGAACCCAACCUGCAACAGGACUCAAAAGCAACCAUGGUGGUGUGGAGAGGGGGCUUCAGCCGUGGCAAUUAACUUUGCUAAGGGGCGCACACGGGCGAAGGGAGGCGUGCAUCACAUGAAAUCAUGCUCCUAAGGAAGCCUUGGCCGACUCAAGCGCGGUAGACACCUAAACAUUUAAAUCACCUUUUCCUAUUGAUUAAGGUGGACAUCAUGUCUCCAUGAAGCACAAAAAUGGUCCUAACCAGGAUUAUACUGCUCGUCUCUAGCAAGUAGAGGAAGCCAGGAUUCAUAUCCAUGAGCUUUGGUGCCAGAACACGUUUCUAACCACUAUACCAGACUUGAACACCGUCGCGAAAUGUGCUUCUCUUUCCAGCUUACUAAGAAUGUCAUGUCGAAUUUUAUCAAGUUCCUUUUUAGCAUCUAUUGAAAUGAUUGGAUAGUAUUAUCCUUUGAUUUAUUGAUGGAAAAUUUU